Molecule: long non-coding RNA, 187 nt
Organism: Paramisgurnus dabryanus
Lineage: Eukaryota; Metazoa; Chordata; Actinopteri; Cypriniformes; Cobitidae
Source: RefSeq, a predicted model, not a curated record
ACCUUCACCUCCAGAUGGCUUGGCAACUCCGGUUGCGCCUCCUCAACCUCCGCCUUCGUCCUCUCAGCAAAAUACCGCUGACGCCGUUGAGGGCAUGGAGGUUGAUGGUUCAUCUUCUCAACCUUCACCUCCAGAUGGCUUGGCAACUCCUGUUGUGCCUCUUCAACCUCUGCCUCCGUCCUCUCUG